Pongo abelii (Sumatran orangutan) is the source of this 153-nucleotide unclassified non-coding RNA. It matches the Rfam family "Metazoan signal recognition particle RNA". From Rfam's summary of the family: The signal recognition particle (SRP) is a universally conserved ribonucleoprotein. It is involved in the co-translational targeting of proteins to membranes. The record is from Ensembl. NCBI's taxonomy places the organism in Eukaryota, Metazoa, Chordata, Mammalia, Primates, Hominidae.
GCUGGGUGUGGUGACGUGCACCUGUGGUCCCAGCUACACAGGAGGCUGAGGUGGGAGGAUUGAUUGAGCCCAGGAGUUCAAGGCUGCAGCAAGCUGUGAUCAUUCUACUGCACUGCACUCCAGCCUGGGCAACAGAACAAGACCCCAUCUCAG